Molecule: ribosomal RNA, 728 nt
Filed under: uncultured bacterium
Lineage: Bacteria
Description: bacterial SSU rRNA
Rfam family: Bacterial small subunit ribosomal RNA
Source: RNAcentral
CGGCGACCGGCGCACGGGUGAGUAACGCGUAUCCAACCUUCCGUACACUCAGGGAUAGCCUUUCGAAAGAAAGAUUAAUACCUGAUGGUAUGAUGAGAUUGCAUGAUAGCAUCAUUAAAGAUUUAUCGGUGUACGAUGGGGAUGCGUUCCAUUAGGUAGUAGGCGGGGUAACGGCCCACCUAGCCAACGAUGGAUAGGGGUUCUGAGAGGAAGGUCCCCCACAUUGGAACUGAGACACGGUCCAAACUCCUACGGGAGGCAGCAGUGAGGAAUAUUGGUCAAUGGACGAGAGUCUGAACCAGCCAAGUAGCGUGAAGGAUGAAGGUCCUACGGAUUGUAAACUUCUUUUAUAAGGGAAUAAACCCUCCCACGUGUGGGAGCUUGUAUGUACCUUAUGAAUAAGCAUCGGCUAACUCCGUGCCAGCAGCCGCGGUAAUACGGAGGAUGCGAGCGUUAUCCGGAUUUAUUGGGUUUAAAGGGAGCGCAGACGGGUCGUUAAGUCAGCUGUGAAAGUUUGGGGCUCAACCUUAAAAUUGCAGUUGAUACUGGCGUCCUUGAGUGCGGUUGAGGUGUGCGGAAUUCGUGGUGUAGCGGUGAAAUGCUUAGAUAUCACGAAGAACUCCGAUUGCGAAGGCAGCACACUAAUCCGUAACUGACGUUCAUGCUCGAAAGUGUGGGUAUCAAACAGGAUUAGAUACCCUGGUAGUCCACACGGUAAACGAUGGAUA